CCUUUGACGUUAGCGGCGGACGGGUGAGUAACACGUGGGUAACCUACCUAUAAGACUGGGAUAACUUCGGGAAACCGGAGCUAAUACCGGAUAAUAUUUCGAACCGCAUGGUUCGAUAGUGAAAGAUGGUUUUGCUAUCACUUAUAGAUGGACCCGCGCCGUAUUAGCUAGUUGGUAAGGUAACGGCUUACCAAGGCGACGAUACGUAGCCGACCUGAGAGGGUGAUCGGCCACACUGGAACUGAGACACGGUCCAGACUCCUACGGGAGGCAGCGCA
This 278-nucleotide ribosomal RNA is filed under the name uncultured Staphylococcus sp. RNAcentral describes it as "partial 16S ribosomal RNA". It matches the Rfam family "Bacterial small subunit ribosomal RNA", at positions 83 to 353 of the family's 1533-position model. The record is from RNAcentral. Lineage: Bacteria; Bacillati; Bacillota; Bacilli; Caryophanales; Staphylococcaceae.